UGGGGAAUAUUGCACAAUGGGCGAAAGCCUGAUGCAGCAACGCCGCGUGAGUGAUGAAGGUCUUCGGAUUGUAAAGCUCUGUCUUUUGGGACGAUAAUGACGGUACCAAAGGAGGAAGCCACGGCUAACUACGUGCCAGCAGCCGCGGUAAUACGUAGGUGGCGAGCGUUGUCUGGAUUUACUGGGCGUAAAGGGUGCGUAGGCGGAUGUUUAAGUGAGAUGUGAAGUACCCGGGCUUAACUUGGGUGCUGCAUUUCAAACUGGAUAUCUAGAGUGCAGGAGAGGAGAAUGGAAUUCCUAGUGUAGCGGUGAAAUGCGUAGAGAUUAGGAAGAACACCAGUGGCGAAGGCGAUUCUCUGGACUGUAACUGACGCUGAGGCACGAAAAGCGUGGGUAGCAAACAGGAUUAGAUACCCUGGUAGUCCACGCCGUAAACGAUGAGUACUAGGUGUAGGAGGUAUCGACCCCUUCUGUGCCGCAGUAAACACAUUAAGUACUCCGCCUGGGAAGUACGAUCGCAAGAUUAAAAC
Molecule: ribosomal RNA, 530 nt
Filed under: uncultured bacterium
Lineage: Bacteria
Description: partial 16S ribosomal RNA
Rfam family: Bacterial small subunit ribosomal RNA
Source: RNAcentral